GACAGAGGGUGCAAACGUUGUUCGGAAUUACUGGGCGUAAAGCGCGUGUAGGCGGCCAUCUAAGUCGGGCGUGAAAUCCCACGGCUCAACCGUGGAAGUGCACUCGAAACUGGAUGGCUAGAGUCCUGGAGAGGAAGGUGGAAUGCUUGGUGUAGAGGUGAAAUUCGUAGAUAUCAAGCGGAACACCGGUGGCGAAGGCGGCCUUCUGGACAGACACCGACGCUGAGGCACGAAAGCUAGGGGAGCAAACAGG
RNAcentral lists this ribosomal RNA (253 nucleotides) under uncultured bacterium. RNAcentral describes it as "partial 16S ribosomal RNA". It matches the Rfam family "Bacterial small subunit ribosomal RNA", at positions 524 to 776 of the family's 1533-position model. The record is from RNAcentral.